ACAUGCAAGCUGAACGGUAAAUGUUGUAGCAAUACAAUAUGAGAGUAGCGUAAGGGUGCGUAACACGUAUGCAAUCUACCCGCAACAGGAGGAUAGCUCCCCGAAAGGGGAAUUAAUACUCCAUAAUAUCACGAGAGGGCAUCUGAUUGUGAUUAAACUCCAAGGGGUUGCGGAUGAGCAUGCGUAUGAUUAGUUAGUUGGCGGGGUAACGGCCCACCAAGACGAUGAUCAUUAGGGGAACUGAGAGGUUGAUCCCCCACACUGGCACUGAGAUACGGGCCAGACUCCUACGGGAGGCAGCAGUAGGGAAUAUUGGUCAAUGGGUGAAAGCCUGAACCAGCCAUGCCGCGUGCAGGAAGACGGCCUUCUGGGUUGUAAACUGCUUUUAUCUGGGGAUAAAAUAUCCUUGCGAGGAGAAUUGAAGGUACCAGAGGAAUAAGCCACGGCUAACUACGUGCCAGCAGCCGCGGUAAUACGUAGGUGGCAAGCGUUGUCCGGAUUUAUUGGGUUUAAAGGGUGCGUAGGCGGCUUUGUAAGUCAGUGGUGAAAUACGGCAGCUCAACUGUCGAGGUGCCAUUGAUACUGCAGGGCUAGAGUACUGAUGAGGUAGGCGGAAUGGACGGUGUAGCGGUGAAAUGCAUAGAUACCAUCAGGAACACCGAUAGCGAAGGCAUUGUACUGGCCAACAACUGACGCUGAGGCACGAAAGUGUGGGGAUCGAACAGGAUUAGAUACCCCUGGUAGUCCACACUGUAAACGAUGAUUACUCGCUGUUAUGGUGUAUACUGUAGCGGCCAAGCGAAAGCGUUAAGUAAUC
RNAcentral lists this ribosomal RNA (817 nucleotides) under uncultured bacterium. Its description in RNAcentral is "bacterial SSU rRNA". It matches the Rfam family "Bacterial small subunit ribosomal RNA", at positions 53 to 869 of the family's 1533-position model. The record is from RNAcentral.